Molecule: transfer RNA, 72 nt
Filed under: Prasiolopsis wulf-kochii
Lineage: Eukaryota; Viridiplantae; Chlorophyta; Trebouxiophyceae; Prasiolales; Prasiolaceae
Description: tRNA-Gln
Rfam family: tRNA
About the family: Transfer RNA (tRNA) molecules are approximately 80 nucleotides in length. Their secondary structure includes four short double-helical elements and three loops (D, anti-codon, and T loops). Further hydrogen bonds mediate the characteristic L-shaped molecular structure. tRNAs have two regions of fundamental functional importance: the anti-codon, which is responsible for specific mRNA codon recognition, and the 3' end, to which the tRNAs corresponding amino acid is attached (by aminoacyl-tRNA synthetases). tRNAs cope with the degeneracy of the genetic code in two manners: having more than one tRNA (with a specific anti-codon) for a particular amino acid; and 'wobble' base-pairing, i.e. permitting non-standard base-pairing at the 3rd anti-codon position.
Source: RNAcentral
UGAGGUGUCGCCAAGUGGUAAGGCAGCGGUCUUUGACGCCGCUACUCGCAGGUUCGAAUCCUGCCACCUCAG